AUUGAACGCUGGCGGCAUGCUUUACACAUGCAAGUCGAACGGCAGCGCGGGCUUCGGCCUGGCGGCGAGUGGCGAACGGGUGAGUAAUGCAUCGGAACGUGCCCAGUAGUGGGGGAUAGCCCGGCGAAAGCCGGAUUAAUACCGCAUACGACCUGAGGGUGAAAGCGGGGGACCGAUAGGCCUCGCGCUAUUGGAGCGGCCGAUGUCGGAUUAGCUAGUUGGUGGGGUAAAGGCUUACCAAGGCGACGAUCCGUAGCUGGUCUGAGAGGACGACCAGCCACACUGGGACUGAGACACGGCCCAGACUCCUACGGGAGGCAGCAGUGGGGAAUUUUGGACAAUGGGGGCAACCCUGAUCCAGCCAUGCCGCGUGCGAGAAGAAGGCCUUCGGGUUGUAAACCGCUUUUGUUCGGGAAGAAAUCCUCUGGGCUAAUACCCCGGGGGGAUGACGGUACCGGAAGAAUAAGCACCGGCUAACUACGUG
RNAcentral lists this ribosomal RNA (484 nucleotides) under uncultured bacterium. Its description in RNAcentral is "partial 16S ribosomal RNA". It matches the Rfam family "Bacterial small subunit ribosomal RNA", at positions 28 to 507 of the family's 1533-position model. The record is from RNAcentral.